GUUCUAAUGGGUUUUGUAUAACUUUUCCUUAGAUUCGUCCUGUGGACCAUCACAUCAUCUGUCAUGAAUGAAAACACGUGCUUGUGACUUUCAAAAUUAUAUGUUGUACUGGUUUUAUUCCACGGAAGGUUGUCUGAGUCUGGCAGAACAAUAUUAAUGAGAAAUGAUCUGGGGCCCUUUUAUAUGUUUAAUCUGUGUUUAAAAAGCACUAAAUUUCACCAUGAAGAUUUAUGUCUCCCAUAAGAUUUGUUUGGUUUUGUUGUGGUUUUUUUUUUUUUUUUGCUUUUGUUUUUGUUUUUGUUUUUUAGGGUCACACCCGAGGCAUAUGGAAGUUCCCAGGCUAGGGUUCAAAUUGGAGCUAUAGCUGCCAACCUACACCAUAGCCACAGAAACACCAAGCAAGUCUGCGACCUACACCACAGCUCAUGGCAACGCUGGAUCCUUGACCCACUGAGUGAGGCAGGGGAUCAAACCUGCAUCCUCAUGGAUCCUACUUGGGAUCGUUAACCACUGAGCCACAAAGGGAACUCCCUCCUAUAAGGUUUUAUUACAGGGAAUAUACAUCAGUCUAGCAGUUUGUUUUCUUUUCCUUUAAUAAUAAUUGUGUUUAACUCUAUCACACUUUAAAAUACUGCCUAUGAUAAUUUAAUAAUCUUUCCCCUCCUUUAAAUGAAUAGCAUGACUAUUACAUUAAUAAAUUUUGUGCUAUAAUGGUAUAAUAAUUCCACAUAUGUCUUUUCUGUAGAGGUAAUUUUAAAAUUUCUAGGUGUAAAUAUUUGAAGUACUCUGAAAAGGUAUUUACUUUAAAACUUAUUAAAUAAAAUAAUAUUGUAUAAGUUUUAGGCAUAAAACAGAAGGGUGUGAAAUAUGUAUAUAUUUCAAAAUGAUUGCCACAGUGAGAUUAGUUAACAUACAUUACCACAUAGAGUUUUUGUUUGUUUGUUUUGCUUGUGAUGAAGUAUUUUAAGAUCUCUCUUAGGACAUUUCAAAUAUACAAUAUAGCAUUGUUAAUAAGUCACAAUGCUGUACACUGCAUCCCUAGGACUUACUUAUCUUACAGCUGGAAGUUGAUAUCGUUUGUCCCCCCUUCCCCAUUUUGCUCAUCCCUCACCACACCCCUCUGGCAAUCACCAAGUCCUCAUGGAUACUAGUUGGGUUCCUCAACCACUGAGCCAUGAUGGGAACUCCAAAACACAAACAAUUUCUGCAUGUUGAUUUUGUACCCUGUAGCUUACUCCAUGAGUUUUCUUAGAAGUAUAAGAACAUGUCAUCUGCAAACACUGAAAAUUUUGCUUUACCUUUACGAUGUGGAUUUAUUUACUUUUCUCACCUAGCUGCUCUGGCUCGGAGCUUUCAGUACCAUGUUGAAUGAAAAGGGUAACUUUGUCUUGGUCUGAAUCUUAGAAGAAUAGCUUUCAGGAUUCAUAAUAGGUUGUUCACUUCGAGCUUGUCAUAUGAUUUUUACUGUGUUGAGGUGUAUUCCUCCUGUAACUAAUUUUUUGACAGUCUUUUUUUUUUUUUUUUUUUUUUUUUUUUUUUUUUNGAAGUUCCCAGGCCAGAGAUCAAACUCGUGCCAUAGCAGUGACAAUGCCAUAUCCUUAACCUGCUGAGCCACCAAGGAGCUCUUUUGGCAGUCUUUAUCAUGAGAGCUGGAUUUGGUCAAAAAUUUUUCUGUAUAUACUAAUAGGAUCAUAUUUUCCCUUUAUUCUCUUAAUGUGAUGAAUCACAUUGAUUGGUAUAUGUUGAGCCAUCUUUGCAUCCAGGCAUAAAUCCCAUUUGAUCAUGGUAAAUGACCCUUUUAAUGUGCUGGUGAAUUUAGUUGGCCAGUAUUUUGAGUAUACUUCAUCUGUUUUUCAGGGAUAUUGACCUGUACCUUUCUCAUAGUGCCCUGUGUAGUUUUGAUAUUGGGGUAAUGCCUCAUAAGAUGGCUUGAAAGUGUUGCUUCCUCUUUAAAUGUUUAGAAGUAUUUGAGAAGUAUAGGCUUUAAUUUCUCCUUAAAUAUUUGGUAUAAUUCACCAGUAAAGAGUUCCUGUCAUGGCUCAUGGUUAAUGAAUCCGACUAGGAACCAUGAGGUUGUGGGUUCAAUCCCUGGCCUUGCUCAGUGGGUUAAAGAUCCGGCGUUGCUGUGAGCUGUGGUGUAGGUUGCAGAUGCAGCUCGGAUCCUGCUUUGCUGUGGCUCUGGCGUAGGCCAGUGGCUAUAGCUCUGAUUAGACCCCUAGCCUGGGAACCUCCAUAUGCUAUGGGUACAGCUCUAGAAAAGGUAAAAAGACUAAUAAUAAUCAUUUCAUUAUUUUUACUGACUCCUUACUAGUCUGUUCAGAUAUUCUAUUUUUAAACUAUUUAGUCGUGGUAGAUUGUAUGUUUCUAGGAGUUCGUCCAUUUUUUCUAGGUAAUCCAAGUUGUUUGCGUAUGAUUGUUAAUAGUUGGUAGUCUUUGAGCUCCUAUUGUGGCUCAGUGGUGAUGAACCCAACUAGUAUCCAUGAGAAAGCAGGUUUAGUCCCUGGCCUUGCUCAGAGAGUGAAGGAUCUGGCAUUGUCUUGGACUGUGGUGUAGGUUGCAGACAUAGUUCUAAUCCCACACUGCGGUGGCUGUGACACAGGCCGGCAGCUGGAGCUCCGAUUUGACUCCUAUCCUGGUAACUUCUAUAUUCUGUGGGUGCAGUCCUAAAAAAAAAAAAAA
Molecule: long non-coding RNA, 2679 nt
Filed under: Sus scrofa (pig)
Lineage: Eukaryota; Metazoa; Chordata; Mammalia; Artiodactyla; Suidae
Description: lncRNA (ENSSSCG00055014760.1)
Source: RNAcentral